This 775-nucleotide ribosomal RNA is filed under the name Shigella sonnei. RNAcentral describes it as "partial 23S ribosomal RNA". It matches the Rfam family "Bacterial large subunit ribosomal RNA", at positions 2156 to 2925 of the family's 2925-position model. The record is from RNAcentral. Lineage: Bacteria; Pseudomonadati; Pseudomonadota; Gammaproteobacteria; Enterobacterales; Enterobacteriaceae.
UUUGAAGUGUGGACGCCAGUCUGCAUGGAGCCGGCCUUGAAAUACCACCCUUUAAUGUUUGAUGUUCUAACGUGGACCCGUGAUCCGGGUUGCGGACAGUGUCUGGUGGGUAGUUUGACUGGGGCGGUCUCCUCCUAAAGAGUAACGGAGGAGCACGAAGGUUGGCUAAUCCUGGUCGGACAUCAGGAGGUUAGUGCAAUGGCAUAAGCCAGCUUGACUGCGAGCGUGACGGCGCGAGCAGGUGCGAAAGCAGGUCAUAGUGAUCCGGUGGUUCUGAAUGGAAGGGCCAUCGCUCAACGGAUAAAAGGUACUCCGGGGAUAACAGGCUGAUACCGCCCAAGAGUUCAUAUCGACGGCGGUGUUUGGCACCUCGAUGUCGGCUCAUCACAUCCUGGGGCUGAAGUAGGUCCCAAGGGUAUGGCUGUUCGCCAUUUAAAGUGGUACGCGAGCUGGGUUUAGAACGUCGUGAGACAGUUCGGUCCCUAUCUGCCGUGGGCGCUGGAGAACUGAGGGGGGCUGCUCCUAGUACGAGAGGACCGGAGUGGACGCAUCACUGGUGUUCGGGUUGUCAUGCCAAUGGCACUGCCCGGUAGCUAAAUGCGGAAGAGAUAAGUGCUGAAAGCAUCUAAGCACGAAACUUGCCCCGAGAUGAGUUCUCCCUGACCCUUUAAGGGUCCUGAAGGAACGUUGAAGACGACGACGUUGAUAGGCCGGGUGUGUAAGCGCAGCGAUGCGUUGAGCUAACCGGUACUAAUGAACCGUGAGGCUUAACCUU